RNAcentral lists this transfer RNA (69 nucleotides) under Psylliodes cupreus. RNAcentral describes it as "tRNA-Gln". The record is from RNAcentral. RNAcentral also lists the same sequence under 1 other name. Lineage: Eukaryota; Metazoa; Arthropoda; Insecta; Coleoptera; Chrysomelidae.
UAUAUCUUAGUAUAAUAUGUAUAUUAAUUUUUGAUAUUAAUGGAAAUAGUUUAAUUCUAUUAGAUAUAA